AUUGAACGCUGGCGGCAGGCCUAACACAUGCAAGUCGAGCGGAUGAAGGGAGCUUGCUUCUGGAUUCAGCUGCGGACGGGUGAGUAAUGCCUAGGAAUCUGCCUGGUAGUGGGUGAUAACGUCCGGAAACGGGCGCUAAUACCGCAUACGUCCUGAGGGAGAAAGGGGGGGAUCUUCGGACCUCACGCUCUCAGAUGAGCCUAGGUCGGAUUAGCUAGUUGGUGGGGUAAAGGCCUACCAAGGCGACGAUCCGUCACUGGUCUGAGAGGAUGAUCAGUCACACUGGAACUGAGACACGGUCCAGACUCCUACGGGAGGCAGCAGUGGGGAAUAUUGGACAAUGGGCGAAAGCCUGAUCCAGCCAUGCCGCGUGUGUGAAGAAGGUCUUCGGAUUGUAAAGCACUUUAAGUGGGGAGGAAGAGCAGUAAGUUAAUACCUUGCUGUUUUGACGGUACCAACAGAAUAAGCACCGGCUAACUUCGUG
RNAcentral lists this ribosomal RNA (484 nucleotides) under uncultured bacterium. RNAcentral describes it as "partial 16S ribosomal RNA". It matches the Rfam family "Bacterial small subunit ribosomal RNA", at positions 30 to 507 of the family's 1533-position model. The record is from RNAcentral.